AAGUCCCGUAACGAGCGCAACCCUCGUCUUUAGUUGCUACCAUUUAGUUGGGCACUCUAAAGAAACUGCCGGUGAUAAGCCGGAGGAAGGUGGGGAUGACGUCAAGUCCUCAUGGCCCUUACGCGCUGGGCUACACACGUGCUACAAUGGCGGUGACAGUGGGCAGCAAACUCGCGAGAGUGAGCAAAUCCCCAAAAACCGUCUCAGUUCGGAUUGUUCUCCGCAACUCGAGAGCAUGAAGGCGGAAUCGCUAGUAAUCGCGGAUCAGCAUGCCGCGGUGAAUACGUUCCCAGGCCUUGUACACACCGCCCGU
Molecule: ribosomal RNA, 313 nt
Filed under: uncultured soil bacterium
Lineage: Bacteria
Description: bacterial SSU rRNA
Rfam family: Bacterial small subunit ribosomal RNA
Source: RNAcentral